This 253-nucleotide ribosomal RNA is filed under the name uncultured bacterium. RNAcentral describes it as "partial 16S ribosomal RNA". It matches the Rfam family "Bacterial small subunit ribosomal RNA", at positions 524 to 776 of the family's 1533-position model. The record is from RNAcentral.
UACGUAGGGUGCGAGCGUUAAUCGGAAUUACUGGGCGUAAAGCGUGCGCAGGCGGUGAUGUAAGUCAGAUGUGAAAUCCCCGGGCUCAACCUGGGAACUGCAUCUGUGACUGCAUCGCUGGAGUGCGGCAGAGGGGGAUGGAAUUCCGCGUGUAGCAGUGAAAUGCGUAGAUAUGCGGAGGAAUACUGAUGGCGAAGGCAGCCCCCUGGGAUAACACUGACGCUCAUGCACGAAAGCGUGGGGAGCAAACAGG